CCUACGGGGGGCAGCAGUGAGGAAUAUUGGUCAAUGGUCGGGAGACUGAACCAGCCAAGCCGCGUGAGGGAGGAAGGUACAGAGUAUCGUAAACCUCUUUUGUCAGGGAACAAAGACUGGGACGCGUCCCCGGAUGAGUGUACCUGAAGAAAAAGCAUCGGCUCACUCCGUUCCCGCAGCCGCGGUAAUACGGAGGAUGCGAGCGUUAUCCGGAUUUAUGGGGUUUAAAGGGUGCGCGGGCGGUCUGUUAAGUCCGCGGUCAAAGCCGGGGCUCAACCCCGGCCCGCCGUUGAAACUGGCAGUCUCGAGUUGGAGAGAAGUAUGCGGAAUUCGCGGUGUAGCGGUGAAAUGCAUAGAUAUCGCGCAGAACUCCGAUUGCGAAGGCAGCAUGCCGGCUCCACACUGACGCUGAGGCACGAAAGCGUGGGUAUCGAACAGGAUUAGAUACCCUUGUAGUC
This 458-nucleotide ribosomal RNA is filed under the name uncultured bacterium. Its description in RNAcentral is "partial 16S ribosomal RNA". It matches the Rfam family "Bacterial small subunit ribosomal RNA", at positions 338 to 795 of the family's 1533-position model. The record is from RNAcentral.